UUCGAAUUGGUGUAGUGGUUAACAUUUGACGCUCUCAGCAUGGUCAUCGUGACGAUGAUCUGGUGCGGUGCCGUCAAGCCCGGGGUUCGAUUCCCCGAUUCGAAG
RNAcentral lists this transfer RNA (105 nucleotides) under Xylaria arbuscula. Its description in RNAcentral is "tRNA-Glu". The record is from RNAcentral. Lineage: Eukaryota; Fungi; Ascomycota; Sordariomycetes; Xylariales; Xylariaceae.